UUUUAAUCUCUUCUGGUGGAAACUAGAAGACUGGCUGGCUCCUUUUCAUGGCUCUCAAUUCCAGACUGAUUUGUCCACAAGACCCAUCCUUAAACUUCCUGAAUCUUUCUCAAAAGUACUGGAUCAGAAAAAGCUAACAAUUGGAUUGAUUGCUGAUUUAUUUCUUUUUGAUAUUAUCUCCAACUCGAGCUGGGUUGUUAUUUGGCCAACGACAUGUUUCCAGUGGCUGGGUCUCCUUUAUGUUUUUUUGAUGCUCUAAUUGUGGCCGACGUGCAGUGGGUCUUAGGUUAUGUUAGAUCUACUACCGGAGGAUCUCUGAUUUCCUGAUUUUAUUCAAGCUUUUCAUUUAAUUUGAGCCUCCUUGGGACCUACUGGAUGAGGUCAAUGGGGCUAUCUUUAUUUUUGUUUCCUGUUCCAAUUAUGGCGACGUGCAGUGGGUCCUAGGUCUUAGCUCCACCAGCCCCCUGUGGAUCUGAUUUCCUGAUUUUAUUCAAGCUUUUCAUUUAAUUUGUGGCUUCCUGACA
Non-coding RNA from Drosophila bipectinata, 524 nucleotides. The record is from RefSeq and is a predicted model, not a curated record. NCBI's taxonomy places the organism in Eukaryota, Metazoa, Arthropoda, Insecta, Diptera, Drosophilidae.